This 91-nucleotide transfer RNA is filed under the name Pseudarthrobacter scleromae. RNAcentral's name for it is "tRNA-Sec". Lineage: Bacteria; Bacillati; Actinomycetota; Actinomycetes; Micrococcales; Micrococcaceae. The record is from RNAcentral.
AAUCGAGGUAGACGGGGACGUUCAGUUGUUCAGCGACUGAAGCCAGUUCGUCGAGCAUGGAUUGCAUCAGUUCAGCGUCGGGGCUCUGUUG